GACGGAAGGUGCAAGAGUUACUCGGAAUCACUGGGCGUAAAGCGUCUGUAGGUGGAAGAAUCAGUCUGGAGUAAAAGGUGGAAGCUCAACUUCCAUUACGGUCCGGAAACUGUUCAUCUUGAGCAACUCAGAGGCACCUGGAAUGCUGUGAGUAGGGGUAAAAUCCGUUGAUACACAGUGGAACGCUAAAAGCGAGAGCAGGGUGCUGGGGGUUUGCUGACACUGAGAGUCGAACGCGUGGCGAGCGAACGAG
Molecule: ribosomal RNA, 253 nt
Filed under: uncultured bacterium
Lineage: Bacteria
Description: partial 16S ribosomal RNA
Rfam family: Bacterial small subunit ribosomal RNA
Source: RNAcentral